GAGUUUGAUCCUGGCUCAGGAUGAACGCUGGCGGCGUGCCUAAUACAUGCAAGUCGAGCGAACAGAUAAGGAGCUUGCUCCUUUGACGUUAGCGGCGGACGGGUGAGUAACACGUGGGUAACCUACCUAUAAGACUGGAAUAACUCCGGGAAACCGGGGCUAAUGCCGGAUAACAUUUAGAACCGCAUGGUUCUAAAGUGAAAGAUGGUUUUGCUAUCACUUAUAGAUGGACCCGCGCCGUAUUAGCUAGUUGGUAAGGUAACGGCUUACCAAGGCAACGAUACGUAGCCGACCUGAGAGGGUGAUCGGCCACACUGGAACUGAGACACGGUCCAGACUCCUACGGGAGGCAGCAGUAGGGAAUCUUCCGCAAUGGGCGAAAGCCUGACGGAGCAACGCCGCGUGAGUGAUGAAGGUCUUCGGAUCGUAAAACUCUGUUAUUAGGGAAGAACAAAAGUGUAAGUAACUGUGCACGUCUUGACGGUACCUAAUCAG
RNAcentral lists this ribosomal RNA (495 nucleotides) under uncultured bacterium. RNAcentral's name for it is "bacterial SSU rRNA". It matches the Rfam family "Bacterial small subunit ribosomal RNA", at positions 9 to 486 of the family's 1533-position model. The record is from RNAcentral.